RNAcentral lists this non-coding RNA (199 nucleotides) under Clostridium taeniosporum. Its description in RNAcentral is "T-box sequence". It matches the Rfam family "T-box leader". From Rfam's summary of the family: Uncharged tRNA acts as the effector for transcription antitermination of genes in the T-box leader family. T-boxes are found upstream of many aminoacyl-tRNA synthetase genes and some amino acid biosynthetic genes usually in Gram-positive bacteria. The record is from RNAcentral. Lineage: Bacteria; Bacillati; Bacillota; Clostridia; Eubacteriales; Clostridiaceae.
UGCAAACCUUAGAUAAGGCUAGUAGUAAUAUUAUGAUUUUUAGAGAGUUAGUGGUUGGUGUAAACUAAUAUUUAUGUAUUAUGAAUCCACCUUUGAGGGACUGUGAAUUAAGCAGUACGGUAAUAUCGUUAAAUUUUAAGAGUGAAUAACAUUUUAUGUUAUUAAUUAGGGUGGCAACGCGGAGUUUUUCGUCCCUUUU